GAUGAAGAACGUAGCGAAAUGCGAUAAGUAAUGUGAAUUGCAGAAUUCAGUGAAUCAUCGAAUCUUUGAACGCACAUUGCGCCCCCUGGUAUUCCGGGGGGCACGCCUGUUCGAGCGUCAUUUCAACCCUCAAGCCCCCGGCUUGACGUUGGGCGCGGCCCCCCCUCGGGGGGGCCCGCCUGAAACCCCUCGGCGUCGCCGUCCGUCCCAGAGCGCAGCGAGUUCUGCCCGCGCUACUGGACCGGGCCGCUGGCUGCCGGCGAACCCAUUUUCUCAAGGUUGACCUCGGAUCAGGUAGGGAUACCCGCUGAACUUAAGCAUAUCAAUAAGCGGAGGA
RNAcentral lists this unclassified non-coding RNA (337 nucleotides) under soil metagenome. RNAcentral describes it as "partial contains 5.8S ribosomal RNA, internal transcribed spacer 2, and large subunit ribosomal RNA". The stretch from base 1 to 120 matches the Rfam family "5.8S ribosomal RNA", at positions 35 to 154 of the family's 154-position model. The record is from RNAcentral.